Cucurbitaria berberidis CBS 394.84 is the source of this 97-nucleotide non-coding RNA. Lineage: Eukaryota; Fungi; Ascomycota; Dothideomycetes; Pleosporales; Cucurbitariaceae. The record is from the annotation of a RefSeq genome assembly.
GGGCUUGUGGUUUAGUGGUAUAAUACUCCCUUAGCAUCUCUAGGACACCUAGAACAGCGAUUGGGAGUGGUCCAGGGUUCGAUUCCCUGCAAGUCCA